Non-coding RNA from Cinara cedri, 23881 nucleotides. The record is from the annotation of a GenBank genome assembly. NCBI's taxonomy places the organism in Eukaryota, Metazoa, Arthropoda, Insecta, Hemiptera, Aphididae.
UCGACCGUCGCGAGCUCAGAUUUUAUUCGAAUGUAUCGUAUUGAAUCGCGUGCGCACCAAUAGCAUUACCGUCAUUACAGCAUUGAAAAGUGCGCGGGUGUCCGACACGCGGAAAACGACGAGCGACGAGGCGACCGGAAAAAAAAAUAAAUAAACCCGCGAAUACGCUCCUCGUCAUGUCACCGCCGCAGCCGCAGUGUCCACACGCGUGAACGUAUGUAUAAUUACGUCUUAUAGAAAAAAAAAAACGCGCAAAACUAUCAAAAAAAAAAAAAAAAAAGAACCGUUAAAUCCCUCCUUAAAAACCCAAUCGGAGGCCGUUUUCCGUGAUUCGUCUCGUAUUUUCCCACUUAAAAUUUCAGAAAUUAUCUUUUAGUACCCACGUAAAUAUUAAUAUCCUGCCCGGGGCAUCCGUUUUAGAGCAUAGACGACCGGUGGCACCCACACGUUUUACCUAACUAACCGCCCGACUAACUCGAUUUGAGACGGGUGCCGAGUGGCGUAUUGAGCAGUAAGUAUUUUUCGUACGAGCAUUGUAUGCCUAUGUUAUAAGUACGUGAAUUAGGGGCGUUGGGAUGGGGUAUGUGAAAAGACACGUUAAACCUCACCUGUUUUAAAAGCUCGGGCGCCACUGGCCGUUUUUAGGGGCGUAAAUGACCCCGAGCUAAGACCUGAAAUAGUGGUUAAUAAUUAUUAGUUCUAUUUCGCACCAUUACUUCCCAACGUCCGAUAUCGUAUUUUUAGGUAUGGGAAAAUUUGUCGACAAAGGUCCUUGACAGUUCUCAACAUGUGGUAAGCGUACAACUAGUGGUACUCGAAAAGCUCGUAGGUGGUACGCGAAGAAAUUCGUCGACAAGUGAAAAAAAAAUGUUAUUAGACACAACGCGGUUAAUUAAUCCAUAAAUAUUAAUAAAAACAAUAACCGCGCAUAUUCGUUGCAAUUUUACUUUUUGUGUAUUAUGGUAAAUGGUUGUGUUGGUUAUACAGUUUAUAGACUAUAUCGUGCCAUACGUGUAAAAUAACGUGCAUGUUUUAUUUGUUGAUAAGUAGAAAAAAAAAAAAAGUCCAAUAAACGUAUGGAGUGAUACGUGCGAAAAAUGUCAAAACGUGUUACGCGGAUAUUACGGGGUUGAGAACUGCCCGUCCGGGUUGUUUAAAAAUUCGAUUUUCACGCAAUACAUAAUACGCAAAUGACAUACGGUUAAUUUCGGUUAUCAUCGUUCUUGAUCAGGUUUCGGGGGCGGGGGGGGGGGAACGGAAUUUCGACGAAAAACGAGCGGGAAUACAAGCGCGUUCACGACGUAUUGUGAAACCGCGUGUACGACGAUCGUCCGUCCGUCCGUCCGUCCGUUAUUACACGACGGCGACGAUGUUAAGCCUGCGGCGUAUUUUUAGGCGGCGCGCGCGAGAAAGCGUAAAAUAACAGCGCGACGGGCGGAACGGAGCCGGUACGGUUUUUCCACCGGGCCGAAAACACUCGGUCCUCCCCUCCACCCACCCCCUCGGAAUAUCAAAACCGUGAUCUCGUCGUUUGUCUCGCACCUCUCGCCCGCCCACCGACCAUCGCGCCGAACCCCGCGCCGCACGUCGACCGUUCGUCGACGAUGUUCCGCCGGACGAAUUCGAUUCGGUUCAGUCGCCGUCGCCCCCCCCCCCCCCCAUCACCCGCGAUCCGGCCGUUUUACACUGUCCACGCGAUUUCGUUCCGGCGAUUAACGGCCCGAACGCGCGCGCGGUCGCCGACGACAGCAACGGUCUAUGAAUCGUUGCUGUCUACUGUGCCGACCGUGCUCGGCGAGUAGUCGCAGUCGGAAAGUUCACAAUCACGGGAAAACGCGGUAUUUUUAACGGUUACAUUACGAGGUGUUCCGCAGACAUGUACAGCCAUUGCAAUAUCCCGGAAAAGUACCGGGUCACUCGUCAAAUGGCCCGUGAAUAGAUGGAACACAUUGGUUAAAAUACAUUUUCACGAUUUCUGUUAAGACGUCGACGAGAUAUGCCACUUUUGAGUUUUUUGGUCGGAGGAGAGUAGUGGCGCGCGGGAGAAAACAAACAUUUCAACACCAGCAAUUAUUUUGACUAGGCAUUCGGUACAGGUUUCCAUUUUAAAAUCAAAAGUCGGUAGCCGUUUCACUCCCGAAAAAAAGAGUGAAAAAAAAAAGUAAUGUAGCGUCUCGGAACUCGGAAACAGAAGAAAUAACUCACGGUUACGGUUCAAUAGGUUAUAAUAGUAAGUUAUUUCACGUGCUUUACCAUAGAGUCGAAUAUGAUAUCGAAUUAUUUAUCACAGGUAUACGUGUACUACUGGUUUUUACGAACAAAACAUAGAACCACUCUAAAUCUUGUGAUUUUAAAGAGUAUAAACGCGCCGUCAAUUUUAUUAUAGGUUAUCAUUCGCAAAAAGAUAUUGGUUUGCCCUAUAUAGUAAGAGUGAAAAAAAGUUCUAUACAUACAAUAAUAGAAAAACGUGUAUCUAACAUACUUUGAAAUCGUGCUUUAUUGACGUUAAUUCAAUCACCCUGUACAGGAGUAUAAAACUAACGAAAUAAGUAUAGUAUUCUAUGGCACGAUAAUGUAGGUAUUUAUUUCUUUUUGAUUCGCAUAAACGACAAUUUUUACUACUGUUAUUUAAACGAGGUUCAUGAAAAACACGACAUAAAUCAUUAUACUAUGCGUGUAAGCACCAAAACUUGAAAAUAAUAAUAAAUACUUAGUAAAAAUGUAAUACAAAACGAAAAUGCUUGAAAUAUGCGGAACAAAGUAACUUAAAACUUAACUUUUAUACUAUUUGGAAUAAAUUCUGCUUUUGUAAAUAUUACAAUAUCGAAAUUAUAAUCGAUAAACUACGUUGCAUAUAAAUUUAUACGGAUUUUAAUUUAAUUUUAGAUAAAUAAAAACAAUUUCCGGCAUACGAAAACUCUGUGUAGAGUAUCUAAUAAAAUCCCAACUCCGAAAUUGUAAGUAUUUCAUGAGAAUUCUCUACGGUUAUUUAUGACAAAAAAAAAAAAAAACCUAUUUAAAUCCCCUCCCCACCCGUUUUGUUUAUUUUCACUAUAGGAAAAAAAAGAACAAAAGAACUGCAAAAAAUUAGCGUGUCCUAAUUUAAAAAAAAAAAAAAUAAAUAAAAUCUUCACUCGGCCAUCGGUGUUUUAGCUAUAAAGUCUCGUCCGAGAUUCAAGAAUCUAUUCGACGUUCGAUUGUUGGUGUUUUUUCUACAUAAAUAUACUUUUUUUUAAUUUAGAUGCGUUCUCGAGCUCGUCAAUUCGUACGAAAUUAUCUCGCGUGUAUGCGUUUGUAUUUUUUUCGUUUUUCCACAUUUCACAUUUCAUUGGCAUUCACUAUUCUUGAAAUAUUAUGUAUUAUAUUUAUUAUUACAACGACGUUUCGUCGUUUUCGUCGAGACUACUUACCUAUCAAUUUGUUUAGCAUUUUUUUUUUUUUUUUUUUGCCCUAUUUACUCCUCCACGUUCACAUUUACCGUAUCGUUUCGAAACACGGUUGUUUUUAAAACUUGUAUCAUUUUAUAUUGACGUGAUACAAGUCCAAAAAUACGAAAUUCGCACAUUCAAUUCUGAAAAAUUCCAAUUUUAGAUUUUAUACUUAUUUGUUUUUUCGAAUUUUUAUUUAUACUAAAUUUAUUUCUGAUAAUGAUAAGAUUUUUAAUUGUGUGAAAAAUGCUUACAAGAAUCCAUAGUCAAAUUUUCAAAAUUCAAAACUAGAAUUUUAAAUACAUUUUCGAUUUCAGAUUCCGGAAAUCCGGAUUUUUCCCAUACUAGUGAAGUAUUUCGAAGUAUUAAUCAAUAUCAACAUAAAAUAAAUUAUGUUAUAUAAUAGCUAAAAAACACCAAAAUCAAAUUAACGUGAAUUCUUCGUAUAGAUAAUCGCUCUCGAUCGUCCAAACAAUGAUCGUUAGUUUCGAAAGUUUAUAGUAAUUAACAUAAUAAUUAUCCGGAUUGACUUGCUUUUUUGUUAUUAAUCUAUCACUUUUAACCAUUUAAAUAUAUAUUUUAUCGGCGCAGUUAAGAUAAUUUAUUCAGUUUCGAAUCGAAAUCGUCAAGGCUUCGAGGGUUAAUUAAUUGUCAUAGUUUUUUAAAUAAACGAUUCGACAUAUUAUAUUAUUUAAACGAUUAUGUAAUAUUGUUUUUUGAAGGUUCCGUUACAAAAAAAUACAAUUUCGUUUUUAAAUAGACCUAAUCUAUCGUUGUAAUGACUCCGACAAAAUUAUUAUAAAAUAUUAUGUUACACAAUAUUAUUAGCUUAUAAAAUAUAACAAUCAUUUACUUCUCGCAGCUGGUUUUUUCACAAAUAACAAAAAAGAGUUUUAUCAUAAUGGUACUGGUGCCAAAGUAUAUAAUGACAAUACAAACAAUUAAAAAAAAAAAAAAAAUCUGAACGGAAAAACGUUUAAUAUGCCAUCUCGAAAAAAUGGAAUUUUUGACGAUAAUACACAGCACUUAAUUAUAUUGUUUAAAAAGUUUUGAAACAUGCUAAAAACGUAUUAUUAUGUUUUAUAAAUGUAUAUUUCAACUUUUUAGCAUACGUACAUAAACUAAAAUACGUAACCGUUUUAGACUGUAAUAACGUUAUAUGGUAUUGUUAUGAUUCCGUUUAGAGUGUUUUAUGAACUUUUAAAACGAAUGCGAAAACAUAAAAUGAAAAAAUAAAUAAAAGAAUUUUGCGGUAUGUUCCGCAGUCAUUAUUUCCUCGGGAGGUACCGUUAUUGUCUAUUGUUAUUAUUACUAUAAAAUACGAAUAGAAUUUCUGGCCAUCGUCUAAAGCAAUCAACUUCUAAUUGCGCUCAUUUUUCGGUUCGUUGCAUCGAAGCACGCAAUAAUAAUGUCCCGUAGCUCGGUAUAAAAUCUUUUUAACGAAAACUCGUACGGUUUCAAAAAUCUAAACGAACAAAAAAAAAUCUAAAAUCACGUUAAUAUAAUCCCACCCCCCGAAAUUUCUUCCUCUUCACAAAAUGUUUUUUUUAAACUUUUGUACAAUUAAAAAAUCAUCUGCAAUGAUCAUGGGCUAAGAAAGGUACAUGUAAGACAAAUAUAAAAAUGGGAAUUCAGGACAAUUAUUUUGUAUUUGAAUGUUAGUAUCAUUUACUACUUUAGCUAUAGAGUAGGGGGUAUGAAGCGAACCCCCUCCCUACAGGUCUGAAAUAAAUCUAUAGUGAAAAUCCUAACCGAACUUAAGUCCUGCGUACGCUACUGGUGGAACUGUUGUAGAUUCAAAUUUGUUUCUCGACAAAUUGUGCAGACGAUACGAACCGUCGUGAAAUAUAUAACCGUCUAGGCGAAACUCUUUAGAAAAAAAAAAAGUUCUCUAAAACUUUUACGGAGAUACCUACGUCGUCUCUUAUCAGCUAUCCGAUACAUUAUUAUUUGUAGCUAUGUUCGCUAAAGAGAACGCACUCGACCCGAGAUGUGUUUUGGGGUCCCAGACAGAAUCAAUUUUACCCCGGUACCAUAUCGGCGCUCCGCGUAUAUAUAUUACGGACGAUUCGUAUCUUAAUCACCCCCCCCCCCUUUUUUUUUUUUGUUCAUAAUAGUACGGAAGUUAUUAAUUUAACCCCGAGCGACGAUUUUUUUUAUUAGAAAUCCGCGUUAGUUUUGAAACUACAAUAAUAAUAUUAUGAUUCCCGAAGAGACCCGGUCGUGUUGUUUAACGAUACGCAUUUUAAGAUAAGACAUAAUUGCAAUAGAAUAAUUAUUUCGAUGAAGAUAAAAAAAGACGCAUACCGAUUUAAUUGUCCAAGUUAAAGAUUAAUAAUUAGGUAUGGCGUAUUUUUGCCAAGAUAAAAAAAACAAAAUAGAUUAUCUUACCUAACGUAAAUUUAAUCGCUUUACGUCUUUACAUGCAGUUAAAUUAUAAUUUCAAUAAAUUUCAACGAGUUCGUGCGAGAAACACGUCGGUUUCGCUAUGACGUGUAACAUUUUAAAAUGUUUUUUUCUCCCUUCAUAAAAUUUUUGAAAAUCUCUUUCCGAUCAAAACAGAACGAGAGAAGUAUAUUGAUUUUCCACGAGUAGUUUACGUGGCGAUUCGAUAUUUUCUAGGUUUUCAAACAAAAGGUUGAAACAAUUCGUAUUAUAAUAACCGUUGUCUCAUAAAUAAAUUCGAUUGUUUACCGGUGAGUUCGUUUACGAUUUAAAAUCGCGUAGGAUUAAUGUAAAAAUGUUUCUCAGACAUCUAUUCGAAUCCGUUGAUUUUCGAUCAUUUUACAAUUUUCGAAUUAAAAUAUUAAUUUAAAAAUCUACCGCGCGGAUCCGAUUUUUGUCGCGUUUUGUUUUUCCACGGUAAAUUUAAUUCGAACAAUACCGCGAAAUUAUUUUCGUUAUAACGGUCCAGAAAGAAUAGUAAAUAAUAUUAAGACAUCGCGAACAAAUUAGAAACUAAAAAAAAAAUCCGUAUUAUUCUUUUAAGUAUGGUAAUUAAAACGAGUUUUAACAAAAUACUUUACAAAGGUAAAACGAGCAUAAAGGUUAAAAAUAAUUUUACCUCCUUAACAUUUUGAAUACUUUUAAAACUCGUUUUUACAUACACUCGGUUUUGUCGUCAUCGACGAAGUCGCGCAGUAAGUUCGCAGCGCCGUUUCGUAAUAUUAAAAAAAGGCCGGCGUUAUUUAGUUAACCGUGAAAAUUCGAGAAUUCCGCGGCAGUUUUUAAUAAACAAUAUUUUAAUAUUCACACUUUUACGACCGGUGCGAGAUUUUCUCCGCGAAUAUUAUUAUUAUUAUUAUUAUUAUAUGUAUAAACAUAAUAUAACACAAAUAUGUAACGCGUUAAUAAUAAUAUAUAUAUAUAUAUAUAUAUAUUAUUAUUAUUUUGUUUUUAUUUCGUGAAAAUAUCGACGAAACGCGUUAUCGGGGUAGCAAGGGGGUGGGGGAUCGGGGGAAAUAUUUGUUUAAAAAAUAAUGUAAAUGAAAACUCUUCGAAAAUAUAUUUCGUUUUGAGCUCGUUCGUUUCGGUUUUGUGCGUAAUAAUGGCGCGCGGAACAAGAAUAUUAUUAUAAAGCAAUCGUUAACGUUAUUGAUGGGUUUUGUGCGUUAAUAGUGUUAUUAUUUUGAUCAUAGACGUCGUUUACACAAAUAAAACGUAUAUUACGUCUAAUGCACGUUAAUAACUCGUUAAAUUUCAGUUGUCUUUCGCGGGGCACCGCCGAUUAAAUCAUAAAACCCGUUCGUGGGUGUUAUAAAUUUUGACUAUAGCGUCGGUCGAUGACGUUCCGUGAAACGUGUUUAUGGAACGGAUAAAAUUUAAGUGUCCGUUGACAUAAAAUUCCUACAGCCAACAACGUUGGCAACUCGGCUCGUGCGUCGAACGAGAAAAUACGAAUGCAAAUGCGAAAAUGAACCGAAGUUGGAGGUAAAGGGGUUAUUCGAUUUAUUUCCGUACUGUACUGUGAUAAUGGAAUUAUUUUAAUGCAACUGCCAAUUGAAUAAUCUGAUCCUGAGCGGAGUUUGGUUAUAAUAUAUUAUGUUGACAAACGUCAUAAUUUUCACUAAUUACCUACGUCUCGUAUCAUGAAUAUAGUAUUCAAUUUUCGAGUAUUUCCGUUUAGCCAAAGCAAUUUUAUUCACAUAAAACCAAAUAAUACCCCACAAAUUGUGAAAAUGUUUUAAACAUUUUAACUAUAUUAUUAAAAAAAUCUUGAAAUCUAAAACAACAUUUCUGGUAUUAAAUCAAAAUCAAAAAUCUGUCCUAGGAUAACGGGGACGGGUGCAGCCACUGUUAAAGAUAUUUUUAGGUAUAUUUUUAUAAGCGCAACGAUAAAACAAUGUUAAAGAAAAAACGAUUUUGAGUGGAGUUCGGUUGACAAUGCUGGUUUGUCAACUAUAUAAAUGUCAUAUUAUGGUAAAAUAAUUACAUAUGCAUUAUAUAUUUUCAUCGAUAAUAUUUGUGUAAUUUUGUACCUAUUUUCCCAUUUUCCCUUCGGUUUUUCCCAUUUUUUGGGAAAACUCCUAAGAAAAUCAAAAAAAUUACCUUCCUAUUGUACCUUCUCAAUCAUAUAUCCUUUUACUAAAAGUGCUAUCAUUGUCAAUCGGAUCGAGUUUUCUGGUAGAAAGCCGUACAAUAAGCUUCAUCGCGUCACUCAAUUGUAGAAAAGUGCUUUAUAGACGGACAAAAUUUGAAAUUGCACACGUCAUAUUAUAACCAAAACACAUGUCGUUCUACUCACGGAAUCUAAAAUACUCGAUACAAAAACGCAAAUUUGAAUUUGGCAAGUUAUUACAGUCGUCUACUGUACGAGAGCGUUUUAACAACAAUAACGCGUAUUGAUAACAAACGGUUUCAUCUCGAGAUGAAAACAAUCGAAAUCGAAUCCACCGUGAAUCGUUGUCCGUCAGAAAAGAAUCGCUCUGUACGACGAAUGUCAUUUUGAGCUGGCGUUAUGCACGCUGCAUACGCGGUUCGGACGUCGGUGGCGAUUUUGUAUUCGUUUCAGACGCGCAUUUCCGGUCGGGCGGACGGAAGUGUCUGGGAAUUUUCGGCGGCCGACUGGGGUUUCGGCGAACUUCGGUCGCCGUCCGGCGUGCUCGAGAGAGGCCACGUGCCCACGUGUCCACGUGCCCACGUUGGGCGGACUCGCUCCGUUUCGGUUUUUACCGACAUUCUCCCGAUAUCAAUACAGUUGAAUAAUGUUAUAGCGUUUCGCGCUGCCUCCCCUCCCCCCUCCCCGCCGUCGCGGUGUUAAUAACAAUCGCGCAAUAAUUAAUUGUUGCAUAAUCGUAAAUUAACGGUUUCCGGCAAGGAUUCAGCUACACGCGUAUGUGUAUAUUAUACAUCUCGGAAACGCGUCCCCCGGUCGUUCGGCCUGCACAUUCCCGUGAAACCCCCGCGUCAGUGUAGUGCUGCGUGCCGGCGACCGGUGCGCUUGCCGACAAACACGCCAUCAACAAUGUUCGCACAAGUAGCCCGCGUGUACCGGGUGUUCCGCUCGAAUGGGCCCGCUCGUUAUCUCGGGAAUUGUUAAAAAAAUUUUUCGGAAAUCCUUUUCCGGAACACGUGAAAAACGAGCGACUCUGCAGUUACAUAGAGUUAUGAUAAUUUUUUUCUCGCCCAUAAUUUCGGCGGUAAGACCCACUACCCGCUUUUGGUUUUCGGAUGGAAACCUAUUCCGAGAAAAAUUCCAUAAGUAGACGGCCUAUCAGAGAAUAUUAAUUUUAGUGUCGAGAAUUUUGGUUUCCGUCGAGCCGUUGACGUGGGACGCCAAUAAAAUACCGGAAAUAAAAACAGCCGGACAGUAAAAUUUCAGGAAUCAAUAUUCCGGAAUAACAUAUAACAAGAAAAUAAUACGCAUGGGAUCGCGACGAAUUGAAAUUUAUGUUUACGGAACGUAAUUACGAGAGAGAAAAAUAAAAAACAACGUAAAUUUACCGGAAUUAAAUAAAUCUGAUCGCAAAAUGCUCAGCAUGUAGAUUCGUUUCAAUUCCAUGCAUAUUGUUUUCUAGUUAUUCAUAGUCCAAAAUGUGAGUUUCCGAACUGAACUUUCAUUUUUUUUUUAUUUUGUUCAUUAGUUUUAAGUUUCAAACAGAUUACUUUCAGUGUGUUUAAACUCUAUUGAUUUGACGGUCCGGGAAUUUUAAACGUAUUUUACUUUCUAUUUUAAUUUUUCUUUCUUUCAAUUUUGUAAUUCGGCAUAGUAAUAGUCCGUAGUUUCAACAUUCCGGUUGUUUUAUUUCUGGUAUUUACGGCCUCCCUUUGACGAGAUAUUCCACUUUAAGUUUGGUUUGAAGAAGGGUAUAGAAGUACAUUAUUAACACGCUGCACGCCCUACCGCCACACAAAUGGUACUUCGCUCCUCUCCUCCAACCCAAACUUAAAAGUGGAAUAUCUUGUCAACGCAACGCAUUAACAGAAAUCGAAAAUUUCAACAGUAACGUUUAUUUUCACUGAUAUUUAAACUCGACCGCAGGAAUUCUGGCCGACAAAGGGAUUUAAACGGCCUAGUUUUUCGUGGCGAUUAGGAAUCAAUUGUGGUCAAUCGAGUCACUACGAGGAUCCGGAACUGGGAAUCCAGGUGGCCAAACACAGACGACCCGGGGGAAUUUGGUCGAUAGGGUAUCUAGGCGAAACGUUACAUUCCGUCAGUGUUUUUCACAAAUCUCUGUGUACUCAAUUCACUUUCAAAUGGUUUUUUUUUUUUUUUUUUUAACGACUGCAAUUUAGUUUUAAACGAUUUAUCGAUCAAAGGCCGCAGAUAACGAUGCUUUUAAAAAACGUGUUUGUCCGCCAAUUGCAUUAUGAUAUUAGUUAUUUUGUCUCUCGUUACGCGCAAACGCAUUUCUGAAAUUUCCCAGCACGAUGCGAGGUUUAACGGAACGUUAUAUUUUCGAUAUUCAACGAACAUUCGAGUAUAGUAUUUCAAUACAAUAUCGUUAUACGCACGAUUAUAAAAAAGGUUGAGUUCGAGUGUGUUAUUGUGAAACAAACUUUCAAAUAAUAAUAUUAUAAUAAACGGACGUCGUCAGCGAUUCCGAAAUUUGACCGAUGAUGCGAUUAUUUCCGCGUAGUUCAUUGUACCGUACGAGUAUGUUUUAUUAAAUUAAUAUACAUUUCGAUAACGCGUAACUUUGGCAUCGUCGUCGCAUAGAGUAUAAAGAACGGUUAGUUUCAACUAUAGUUUCAACGUAAGCUGCUGCAUUCCUGCAAAGCAGAUAUUUUAUCUACGUCCCGCGAAGUAUGUCUUAUAUGACAAUACGGUUUCUGCGGUUAAUUGUUUCGUUAGUAUUUUUUUUUUAAUCGUCGCUAGAGCACGGAUAUUGUAGUAGUAAAAAACUAUUGAAAUUGGCUGCAGUAUUUCACUAAAAAAGAUUGAAAUUGCACUGAAAAUAUUAAAAAUUGCAGUAAAAACUAACAGGUUAAAAAAAAAAAAUGGAAAUAAUUUUCUUAAUUUUCGGUAUAUUUACAAAAUAAUAAUAAUCACUCAAAAUUCACGGAGAUUAAAACAGUCAAACAGUCACUUUUCACAAAUUGAAAUUCUUGUAUUGAAUUGAAUACCUACCAACUUGGAAUUAUUAUAAUAAAAAUAUGAUACUAUUAUUAGAUUUUAUAGCUGGCAAUAUUAUAGUAUAAUCUUAUCUAUACGAUUGUCAAGUGACUAUAGCUAAAUUAGCUAUGUAAUUGUGUAAAUUCAACGAAAUUGCAAAAAUUGCAAAACAUUGCACUUAAAACUUCUUGAUUUGAAUUCGCACUUACAUGAAACGUAUUUAAAACUUACUUAGCAAUAAAUUGAAAAGGUAGUAAAAAUGUUGCAAAUGCAACAACAUCCGUGCCCUAGUAAUAUUAUAAUACUUUUAUUUUGUGUGUAUUAUUAUGUUGCAUUAUUUUUAUUAUUACAAUGUUUUAUCAUUGCGUUGAGUUGAUAAUGAUUUUUAGUAAACAAUAUAUAUGCCAUAUUAUCGUAAUAUAAUUAAAUAGGCAUUAUAUAUUUUAUUUAAUAAUAUUUAUUUAUUAUUGGACCGAUCUUUCCGUUUUUCCGUUUUUAUACUUUUUUUUUCGGGUAUUUUAUAUUUGCUGGAAUAGCUCUUGGUAAAGUCAAAAAUGACCUCCUUACAGAACCUUUCAACAAAAUUUUCUUUCAGAAAAGUUGCUACGGCAUAUACAUCGGAGUGAGAACCCUGGUAGAAAAGUCGUCCACAGAUAAAACAAUUGUAAAACUAUAAACUUCUUCAACCCACUCAGAAUCUAAAAUGAAAGUUAUGUGUUAUUUUUGAUAGGGCCAUAAACAAAUUUUAUCUAUAAUUUGAUAUAUGUCACCCAAUGUAUGGCGCCCAAUAAAUUCAAAAUCGUCGUCGUAUGAAAAGCAAUGUCACAGAUGCAUACCAAAUGUUUAAGAUACCGGACUCUGACAUUUUAUUGUGUAUGGGUCUUUGAAGCCAAAUAGGUUGGGCAAUGUUUACAAUCCGGUGUUGUCAAUAUUGGCAAAAUUAUUAUGACGUCAUCGAUUGACGCUGAGAAUGAUAAUAUCGACUUGUAAACAUCGCCCGAUAUGCAUUGCAAUAUGGCUGUUGGCCUCGAGUACGGGCAAGCCGGUAAGUGACCGUGUAGCGCGUACGGUAUGGUGCACGCGUAUCCGCGAGCGACGUCUCGUGCACGGUCGUGUUAAAUAACGCGACGCGACGGCGAAACGGAUAAAACACCUGGCCGCCGUCGCCGCUGCGAACGUGUCCGGGAUCCCGGGAUAAUUGCUGUGAAUUUCCCGUCGGCAGGGACGACGGACGGACAGGCGAUAAUUGCCUACGCGUUACGGGAACGGGCGGAAUAUUCCGAACGCCGGGAAACGCACUAGACGCCGCGGGUGCAUGCGGAUUUCGUACCGUCGGAAUUCUCGUGCCCCUCGCCGCCGUGUGCGUAAAAACGCGCGGACGCGAACGUCACACUCGCGCGGCGGGCGUUCGCGAGACGGGUUUAGCGCCGGUCGGGGUCGGUCGAUCGCGUUUCCGGGAUGCCGCGGCGCCGCCGCCCGGUCCGACUUCCGACCGCUGCCGCGGCCCCGCGACGAGUGUCGUUUUACGCGUGUAUUAUUGUUAUCAGUAUUGUUAUUAUUGUUGUUAUUACUAUUAUUACGAUAUUAUCGUCGUCGCGACCGAGCGUUCUCGAUCGCGCAUUACGUUCCGCGGGCGCUCGAUCCCGUACGUACCGUUAUCGUCGCGCCCUUGACGUCCCGCUUUUGACGUACGGUUGUUUUUUUUUUUUUUUAUAAUUUUUUAUUUUCCUACCGUUUAGGUUCCGAGCGGAGCUAGAGCGAUUUAUCCGUUCGACAAACUUUUCUGGUACGGCGAUUUCGCUGUCCGAUUUUCGGGUACCGCGGCGCUUUUUCCGAAAGGAAAUCCGACCGGGGCCGCGCACAUUCAGGAGGCCGUUUUUCGAUUUUCCCGGGAGUUUAUCCGAUAAACUGAGGAGGGGGGGAAACACGGAAAAACGAGAAAAUUUACGAAAUAUACUGUUUUCGAUUUUUUUUUCUUUAGAUUUGAUUCCGUUAAAGAUAAUUGUAGUGACUUGAAGUUUGGACAGCCUUUCCUAGACGUGGUGUAAUAUUAAAUUGUAGCCAUAUUUGAGCUUUUUAUAGAUAUUUUUGUUUUACGGGGAUUUUCAAGUAAAUUUUAUUCGGUAGGUACCUACACUGUGGAUAAAAAGUUUAGACAAACAGAAAUGCUUAACAAUUUAAAAGGAGGUUCAUUUUAUUUUUUACUUAUAGUGGUUAACAAGAAAAAAAUGAGUCGAAUGCAAUAUAUUUUUUAUUUUUUUUACAAGAAUUUCAAUAUCAAAUUUUGACGAAUUGCGACCUUUUAAACACGUAUAACCGAACUCUGCUCAGAAUCGUUUUUCAUAAACAAAGAUUAAUUGUUACGUACAUAUAUACAUUAAAUUCCUGUCUAUAUAUUACCUUCCCAAAUUCUGACACGUAACAGCGGCUAGCCCGUCGUGCGAAAUAUGUCCGUCUUUUGUUUUUGGUGUUAUCGUAAAACGAUUUGGUGUACAUACCACGUGCGGCGAACGUAUCCUGAAUACAAUUGUAUUGCAUACACGAUGCGCCGUCUUACAAUAUUAAAAACCAUAACAUAAAAAAUAAAACGCACAAAAAAUGCCGAUUCUGGUAUAACAAUGUUGCAGGCAGGGAUUCUGGAAAAUGAAAAGUAUUAGAGGAUAGGUAUUCGGUUUGACAUAUGUUGAUAGAUUUAUUAUUAAAAUUGUAAAUAUCUAUUAUAAGUAUUUGUAAACGGAAAAUAAAUUAAAAUCUUUCUCGUUUUUAAAAAAUUGCAUCAUUUUGUACGUUAAACGUAUAUGACGAUAAUAUAACAUCAUAAUAUCUAUCUUUCGUUGUUCCAUAUUCCCACCAACAGUAGUUCUUUUUUUUUUUGUGUUAUUUAUAUUAUUAAUUAUUAUUAUUCCAUUACAAGUGCUGAAGUGUGCCGCGUGCAGCAAACAUCGCAAAUGCAUUUUAAUGCAGUUAUAUUGCGUAUACAACGCGCCGUCUUGCAAUUUUUCCAAUCAAAAACUGUAGAUAUAAUACACAAAAGAUAAAACAUAAAUAAAGCCGAUUCUUGUAAGACCCUGUUGUAGAUGAAAAGUUGGAAAAGAAAUUAAGUUAGAGAUGUGUAAAGCUGAAAAUAGUAUCCUCUUCCCUAAACACACAUUUAACAUAUUAUGGUUAAUUUCAUUUUUAAAACCAAUAUUUUACAACCACAUCAAUUCGUCUACAAAAUAAAACCACUUAUUCCCUAGUGUUGAACUCUUUUAGCCUAGAAAGAAUGUUUAAAAGUAUUUUAAAUGUAAGAUGAGAAAAAAAUAUUUAAUAUCGCAAAAUCAAUGCUGUAAAAUGUUUUUUAUUUUCGAGGAAUAUCAGACAAAAUAUUGAUUCACAUAAAAAGAAAUUGUCUUUGCAUGAUAAUUGAUAUUUUGGUUUUACGAAUCGUAAGAAGAAGUUAGCCGAACUAUAUAAUGGUUGUUUUAUUUAAAUUUCUGAUCUAUGUUUGAGUAAAUAUUAUCCUGAAUCGAUUUAAAAACAAUUGAAUUUUUACAGAUAAGUGCGAACACGCACCGAAUAUCAAACAUGUAUAGGUUCGUUUGUCCUAGCUAAUAUUAUUGCAUUCUCGUGAAGUUGGUUUUAUGAUUUUAGAAUUAACAAUUUCAUUUUUAUGUCACAUGUUAUUAAAAUUAACAAAUAAAAUAAUAUAAGUACGUUGUAUUUUAGCAAUUAUAGUUAUUUUAAAAUUGAAUUCGAGCUAUUAUACACUUUUUUAAAUUUCAUAUAGUAUUAUAAAAAGCCAGCUAACUAUAUAAAGAACAUAAUUACAUUACGGAUCGCAAAGAACUGUUUUUAAUUUUACACAGUCGAAAUAUAUAUUAUUUAAAUAUAAGCGUUAAAUAAUUUAGGCACCUCAAAAACUUCUGUUAAACUUAUUUAGAAAAAGAAAAGAUCAACUCAACAAUAAAAUAUUUAAAUUAGCGUUUUGACGAUAAUUUGAAUUCAGGUAGAACGUUGGUUUUUUUUUUUUGGCUUUUUGUAUUCAUUUAAGUAAAAUUCUUAUGUAUUAACUUUAAUGAUAGACUAAAAAAUAUAUUUUUUCUAUUAUAGACAAUCAAUUUUUCCUAAUAUUACAUAUAUUACAUAAAAUAAUAUCUAUAAUCAUAGAAUUAUUGUUUUACAAUAUUUUGCGUUAAAAAAAAAAAAAUUACAUUGGCUGAUUUUUAUGGCAAACCUAAUUGAAAAACGUCUUAUUAUUAUGAUUGUUUAUUGAAAUUUUUUUUAAAUUUUUUGUUUUAAAUUUUGUAAAUUGAAAUUUGCCGUUAACGUAAUAAUUUUAAGUAUUAAUUGCUCAUACUAAUCAUUUUAGGUAUACCGGGAUUUCGAAUUGUCAUGUAUAACGUUUAUCGCAUGCGAUUGGUUUCGAAUGGUAGAAAGUUUUAGAUUUUUGGCGCGAUAAGAAAACUUAAUUAGUUUCCGGAAACGUUAGACGAACAAAUAAAAGCUCUAAACUGACUGCAUCGUUCAGAACAUGUGUUUCCUCUAUUGCCCCUUAUAUUUUCUUCUUUUUCUUUUCAUUUCAUUCCGGCUCUCCAAUUAGCAAGAGCUAGGAGUGGUUCCGAUUUAAGCAGUUUAAUUUUUUUUUCUUACCACUACAAAGACGAGUUACCUAUAUGCAUUUACAGCGUAGGUAAUGCUUAUGGUUAAAAUGUUAAUGUAAACUAAUUUCAAUGGAAAAACAUUUUUUACGAAGAAAAAUGUGGCAAUCAUCCAAAUCACGCAUUGGUUUAAUCGGCGUACCUUUACAUAUUAUCGAUACAUCAAAACAUCCGAGUAAACACUCUACAUAGUCUGGCAUUUGAAGUAUUGUUGUAAAUAUAAUAAUAUUUUGGCUAUUUAAAGCGUAACGAUGUGACGUUAUAGAAACACAGAUAAUAAUAGACAUAGUAGGUGAAUCAAACUAUAUAACUAUAAGUAGACGGUUGACUCUACAAGUAAAUCUGAAGCGCGGCAGCUGAAAAUAACUGAGAGGCAAAAUUGUAUUGAUUAACCAGUGAAAUAUUUAUUUAUUCCGUAAAUAUUUUAUCAUAAUGUGAUAUAUAUAUUUUAUGUGACUAUAUAUACCUGAUGAUCGUAUCAUCAACGGCCUUAACAUGUUAUUAUUUCAUGAGCUAGCUAUAAAGUUAGCCAGUUAAACCGAUUUGUAAAAAUAGAGUUCAAGUUACAUAUUUCCAGGAAUACUAGUUAGGUUGGAAAUGAAUAGUCGCUUUUUUAAAAUUAGCCUUUUUUCUAUACAGGUAUAAUGAAUCGAAUAUUUUGUUUUUAAUUAAGUUAUCAUAUAAUGCUCGUUAUUCCUCCAUCGGUUGCAUGUUUGUCUUGUUAUAUAAUAAGAUAAAAAUAGGUAUAUUUCGUCAAAUAAUGAAUACAUACAACAAAGAUACAUUUUUUUUUCAUAAAAUAACUUUUUAGCUUUUUACUACACAGCUUUAGUUAGUCAUCCAGAUAUACUAUAAUUAUUGGCUUUCUAUCAUUAUUAUAAGUCUAUAAUGCAAUCAGGUAUACAUAGUAGGAUCAAAAAGUUCCUGGAAUACUUGAACUGCGCUCCAACGGAGUGUCCAAGAGCAGUAGGAUCGAUAUCACUGGAUUCUGAAUUCUUCGGAGAACAUCUGUAUUUGUAGAUUCUCUAUAACUUUCUUUCUUUCGAUGUGACCGAUGUUUUCUUAAAAUAUUUUUUUUGAAUUUGGCGAUUUUGUGAUAUAUCCAAAAGCAGAGCUUUUGAGGAGGAAGGGAGGAGGAUGUUGGUUAGAGAAGAUUAUUCUUUCAUGUAUAUGAUAACAUAAUAUUAUACACGUAGUGAUUAUUAUUAUGUUAAAUAUUCAAAAUGUUUUUUAGUGAUUAACUGUACCAAAAAGUUCCUGAUUAACCUGAACUUGGACCUUCGUCCACAUUCUCGAGAAAAAGUUUCACUCUUCACAUCUGCAGUUUUUCAGUUGCAAUUUGUUGGCAAAAUUCCUGUGAAACGUUGCAUUCCUCUACCAAACAAGAUUCUGUCAAAAAAAAAAUAGAAGGAAAAAUCUUUCCAACUCCUCCCCCCUCCCCCCUUUUUAAAGCUAAAAAGCUUUUCUUUUAGGUUUAUUACAAAAAUCGUCACAGAAUCCAGUGGUAUCAAUCUUACUGCUCAUGGACACUGCGUUGGCGCGCAAUUCAAGUAUUCCAGGAACUUUUUGAUCCCACUACGUACAUAGUUUAAUAUUUAAUAUAUUUAUAUAGGGGGUAAACUAAACGUUUUGGUAUAGAAAUAGAUGAAAAUGAAGUAGUGUUAUAGUGAAAUGCGAUAGCUUAAAAUUUUUAGUGGGUCUGGAUAAAAUGUGUUUAAAUUUAAGAAAAAUUAAUUCUCACUGAAAUUUGUUUUUUUAUCUACGAAUACUAGAAUACUAGAAAUAAUUAUUAUUGUAGUAUAAAUCAUUACAACUCUAAGAUUUUAAAACAAUUUUAAAAAUCACAAUAAAAUAUUAUAAGUAACUAUUAAUAUUUAAAGUUCAUCUAUGCCUAAGACAAACUCUUGAAAAUAAAAAAAAAUGUUUGGCAUUUCAUGGUUUUUUUUAUUUCCUAAACUUGGGAACUUUUGAUUAUUUUUAUGAAAAUUUAAUUAUUAUUGUUAAUAUAAUAGAAGUGAUUUUAUUAUGGGUAUUCUAUUGAUUAUAUAUAGUGCACAUCGAUGUAAAAUGUUGAUAAAAUUGAUUUUAAAUUUAUUGUUAUUUUAUUCAGUAUUCGUGGUCAAACAGCGGAAAUAUAAUUUUCGAUCAAGAUUUCAAUAAAAUGCAUUCGCAUUUUAUUAUAUAUUUUUGAUUAUCUUAUUCGAUCACGCGCCUAAUGCUAUAAUUUAUAGGUGUAUUGUAUUAUUUUAAAAUUUGCCAUUUUUUUAACCGCAUAAUAUACAAUCAGACAUAUUAUUCUUUUAUACGCAUACAAUUAAAGAACUGUUUUCAUAUGCCAUUUUUCAUAUUUUAAUUCGUAAUGACAACGAUCACAUUCCGAAAUAAAAACUACUUUGGAUUGUGUUUCAUACGAAAAAAAUGCAACCAUUAGAAUUAUUAUAAUUUCGUAACUAUAACACUACACAAAAUACAGACGAGAUAUUAUGUUUUAAUUUGAAUAUGAAUUGUUAUGAAGUUCAAAAUAUUAUAAUGUCUUCGUUUUUUUUCGGCUUUUUCUCGUUAAAGGCCGUGUCUUGUUGCUGCAAAUCUGAAUCUGCAUUCUUCUCUGUUAUCCAUAGUCAAUCAACCGAUUCCCAAAGUAUGCUUAUUUCAAAAAUUCCUCCCUGCGUGUGUUUUUUAUGUUUUAUCAUGUUUUAUCAAGUUAAUAUUACAGUAAUAGUACAGACGAACCGCAAACAUAAUAUUGUUUACCAGAUUUUUAAAUUUUAUUCCAACUAAAGUUGUUAUAAAACUUAAUAUAUAGUUUAAAACAUAAAAAAAAAUGAAUUAUGAUAAAAGUAUAAUAAUAUGGUAUUGUUCAUCUCGAUCCAUCUAUUUAUGUACACAACGGACAUUUCGGAAGUAUAAUAAUAUACGAAACGUGUUAAAUACAUGUAAGAAAAAGUUUGUUUCAAUUUUGAAACUCGUAUGAAUAAUAAAAAUUAACUAGUUCAUUGCGUUACAUAUUAUACUUACAUAAGUAGUGCACGUAACUCUUAAAAAUUAAUAUUAUAAAAUAUUUAAAUAGCUAUUUACCGAUAAUACGCGCAUGAACACGAGACAAUUAAUUAUUACGAGAAUAAAGUAUAAGAGAAUGAUACCUAGUAUUAAAACUUCACGACAGUUUAUUUUAUGUAUUAAUAUAACGUAAUAAUUACCUACCGAUUUACCUAUCUGCGUUUAAAAAUAAGAAAAUUAAAAAAAUAAUCUCGUUUUCCUCAUUACGAUAAAGUCCGUAUUUUAUGUCGUGACCAAAAUACAUUAAAAUAUUACAUAAUUUAAAAUGAAAAUUAAAAUUUUUCAGUUGGGUAGUUAAAAAAUAACGAUCAAAACUAGGCAGGUACUUAUGCAUCUACUAUUUUUAUCGAUCAAUUCGAUUAUUGUAAUUUGUUUUAUUUUAUUUUUUUGGAAUUGCGCGUGAUAUUUUUUUAUUUCACCGUCGUAUCAAAUACGUGUAUACGUAGGUAGACGCACUGCAUCAGGAUAUAAUUAAUCGUUUAGGUCAAGCAAUUUAAUUUUAGAUUACAUCGUGAAAGUCAAUACCUACACGUAUAAUUAUUAUACGAGCGAAACACCCAAAAACCGGGUACCUUUGACCGUACCUAUAUUAUAUAAUAUAGUGGGUACCAAUUACGAUCAAAUGGUCACGGCAUUUUUGGAUAAAUUAAGGGUCUAUAUAAUAUUACAAAUACAUAAUAUUUACAUAUUAUUUUUACGCGUAUAAACCUAAUAUAUAAGUGUAUUGAAGUUUUAACAGAAAAAUAAUAACAAUAACAAUAAUAACAAUAAUUGAACAUUUUUAUAGAAUUGACCAUAUUAUAGAAACUUUUUUUUUUUUUGUUGUUAUUGCAAUGACACAGGUAGGUUAUAUUAUUAAAUAAAUACCUACAAUUUUUUUUUUUGUUAGCCACGCACGCAAUAACUGCAGCAUUACUAGCAAACAACAUUUCUCGAACAUAACUACGUAUUAAACAAAAAUAUGUAUCAGUCACGAAUUUAAUACAAAUAAAUAUAUACAUAUUAGUGUUAUAGUUAAAUAAUGUAGACAAUAUAUUAAUAUAGGUUAUAUAUAUAUUUCACGAUUUGGUUUGAAAUUUUUUUUUGUUUUGAGUUUAGUUAAAUAGUUAGGGAACCAAAAUUGUAUUUUUAUAUUAAGUACAUUGUUUCUUACCGUGAAAAUCAGAUUCUUUAUGAUAAUUUUAAGCGAACCUACAACGAAAAAUUUUGAUGAAUUUAAUUUUGGGGAUUUCGGUUUUUAAGUAUUCAUAAAUAAUCUUAUAUAUUUAUAAUAUUUUUAAAAUUUUACUCUUAUUCCGAAUUGAAAUGAACUUUUAAUUUCCAUAUGAAAAACCAUAAUUGAAGGUCGGUUAAACAUUUCGUAAACAUUUUUAAAUGCUAAUCCUCACCAAUUGAGGUAUAUUCUCUACUUCUCCAGUUUAAUUUUAAAAUCUGAUCGUAGUGUGAAAAAUUUAACGGUUUUAACAUGUGCUUCCUUUUUUUUUUUUGGUCUGAACCUAAAUAACCAUUCUAUACUAGGAAAUUUGUUAAGAUUAGCUAUUUAUUUCUCAUGGAAUUUUCUUUUAAUCAGGAAUCCCCGUAGAAUGUAUGCAUUAAAAAUUUCCGUUUUUUUUUCUAUUAUUGUUCUUUUUAUUUUGAAUUCAGUUAAAAGUAAUCGUAGAGACAUUUCAUUUUAAAAAAAUUCUUUUAUUUUUAAUUCCUAAAAGUAAUAUGUAUUUUUGAAAUAUUUGAGCUAUUUAUAAAUAUUAGAAAAGUUCGAUUUUUUUUAUUUUAAUUUUUAAUUAGUUUUAUGAGAAUAAAACUGUUUUGGCUCAAUAAAAGUACUCAGAAAUUGGACACGAGUAAAUUAAAGUUAUGAAUAACUAUGUUGAUAUGAUGUAUAUUUAUGGUGGUCGAAUUAUGUGUAACAUUCUAAAAAUAUUGUCAAUAAAAUAUAAAUUUGUAUUUUAUUAAAAAUUUGCAAUUUAGAUAAACGAAAGGAUCAUGAUAAAAUCAUAAUAUCAUGUAUAAGUUUAAAAAUUAAAUACAAAUUAACAAUUAACAUUUAAUUACAGUUUUAAAUAUUUUGCAAUUUCGUAUGAUUAAUUGUCAUUUUAAACUCUAGAGUAAACUAGCGUUUCGUAUUAGUGGCAUAUUAUUUAAGCGUUUGUCGUAAAAUGAAUUAUUGCGUGUUUAAGAAUGAAAGGUACGUUGCAAAAUAAAAUUUAAUUAAACUUUAUUAAUAAAUAUAAUUUAGACAAUGAUUGAACAACGACUUAAAAAACGACGUAUUUUAAUCAUAAAAAGUGCAUUGGCACUAGAAAUCGGUUAAAAAAAUGUUGUUUGGUAUAUUAGUAAUUUAUAAUUAGAAAACUUUUGAAAUGUCACUAAAAUUUUUUAUAAGAUAUGAAGUUGUAUAUUAUAUUAUAUUAUAGUAUAAUAUAUAGUUAAACUAAAAUUCCAUAUGAGCUUUAGGUACAUACCGUAAUAAAUAAAAUGUAAUGUAACUCGUAAUUGGUAAAAUGGUUUUUUUUUUUAGACGAGAUUUUAACAGUAGAAAUUACAAUGUAAUUGACCAUUAUAACACAUUUUUUUAUAAUUUGAAAUAUUUUUAUUAUUAUAUUUCCUUAAGCAAAAUCAUAAUAGUAGUAAUAUAAUUUUCCGGGUAUUUUUGAUGAUUUUUUUCUUUGAAAAUUCGUUUAGCUAUAUUUUAUUCUGUUUUAAUAAUAUGAAAUUUUCAGCUUAUGUUUUGAAAAAAUAAAUUCCAAAGUGCACAGUUAAUAUUAUUAUAACAAACUGCUCGCUAACAACCACAGAGAUUAUUGCUUGAAAACCCUAUACGCGUCCUUUUACCCUAAUCAACGAACUUUGGAAAAAUGCCAAUUUAUCUUGGAACAUUAUCCCAUAUUCGGACUUACUCUUUAAUAAACGCCGGUACUGGUGGCAGUGGUAUUAUGAUUAAAUCGUAAUUUUUAUCAGAGCAGUUACAGGAAAUUAUUUUUUUUAAACGACAUCGAUAUUUUAUUAAAUUAUUAUAAUUGUUGUUGCAUGUAUAAGUUCAUGAAAAAUGUUAAAGUUUUCAUAAAAUUAAAAUGAUGUUAAAUUUAUAGUGAAAAAAAACAUGUAUCUUAUAAAAUCAUUCUGGCUAAAUUAUAUGAAUCUGACCCAAUAAACGAAUAAUUAAUCAUAGAAAUAAUUUUCUAAGACUACAAUUAUUACAAUUUUUUCUUAUUAUUUAUAUUUCCCGUUUUAUCAUUGUUAAAAAAUGUAUAUUGUAAAAUUACAAAUAAUAUAUAAUACAUGAAAUAUAAAAUACAAUUCCUGUUAAAGAGUAUUUAUAUUAUAAUUUACGAUAUUUUAUCGUGACAAUAAUAUGCAUGAAUACGAAAACUUAAAAAAAAAAAUGUUUUUUUGAGUACCAACCAUUAUUUCAGUAGGUAAACUUGGGCUAGUAUUUACAAGACACUUGUAGUAUUUAAGGUAGAUACUGUCGGUGUAUUUUGAUUUCCUCCAAGUUCAUUAGACAAUUUCUCUCUCUCUCUCUCUCUCUCUUUCUCUGUCUCACUCAUUCCUCGCCAUAUCUCGUUAGUGCUAACCUCAAGAAGACCUUAUACACCAAAGAUAACAAUAAACCGAUUUUAUAUUCUCGCAAUUUAGCUUCGCCGCCGCCGUAAAUUGGUCGCUUGUUUAACGUUCGGACGAGCACAAGACAACUUUGAAUUAAUGAGCCGACCUUUUGGUGGCAUCGCAAAGCCGAGGCGGCGGCGUCGAGACAACACGGCGAAGGAGACCCUGCUUUCAACGAAGAGAAGGUUAAAAUACCCGAAAACUGUUCGGGUGGGAAAACGUUUGUAGGGGACCAACGUUAAUCGAGAUUAAUGAUCGUACGAAAUUGGAGGACCUCAUUCUAGGUUAGAUUAUAUUAUAACAUUGUUCUUCUGUUUUAUAGUUUACUUAUGUAUACUGUAAUAUAUGAUAGUAAUAUAUCGAUAACUUUGAUAUUUUUAUAUUUUUACGGCCAGCUAUAAUAAUUUUUCGAAACGAACAUAAUAUUGAACGAAAACAAAAUAAAAACAUGUCCAAUAAUGAUUCCCUAUCAUUUCUUAAAAUAAAUGUUUUUUUUUUUUUGGUUCUUAUUCCGUGUGGUACAAAGUAAUCCAUUAAUCAACAAUUAAUACAAUGUUUUAUUUUAAAAAUACCACAAGUUAUAUAUCUCACCAGUGGAGUAUUCAAGAUUACUCAAUGUGAAAAAGGGGAGGGGCAGAACAGAAAAUUUCAAAUAUUUUGUACAUUGUAUUUGCACCUCUCAUACAUAAUUUUUAUAGUGUCAUAAAAACACUUUAGGAUGAAUCCUGUAUACAAUUUGAGUUUUUUUUUAUUUGUUUUGCGUAAAUGAAAUUCUGGAUAUGUAUAACUUCCAAGUAUAAAGAUGACUAUAAGAAAUAAAAUGCACCUCUCAUUUUACCAACUUGAAAAUAUUUUUUUUAAAAAAGCUCUUUUGUCAGUUAUCAAGCGAAGCGAGCUUUUUAAUAAAACAAUUUGUUAACAGGCGAAAAAAAAUACGUCAUAGUAUAACCAUUACAUUCCACGCAAUGCUCAAAAUCUAAAAAUACAUAAAAUUCAUUAAAAAGAUAAAUUUAUUAUUUUAAAAAUACGUUCAUUGGGCGUGCCCCUUCUUUUGACAAUGUUGUGAGCCAUACUUAAUAGAUUAAAUUUAGAAAAUCUGGUCUGGAAUGCACACUGAUUCGUUCAUUCGUUUCUGUAUGUGAAUGUUUAGAUCACUGGAUGCGAUAAAUUCGGCUGUAGUGAAACGCGCACAAACAGAUGACAAGCAGACAGACAUGUUUUACUUUUAUUAAUAUAGAAUAUAUAAAAAUUAAAAAAUUAAAUAAAACCAUUUUAAAAAUUACAUCAGAGAUUGUUUAAUUUUUUCCAACAGGUGGACAUUUUUUUAUAAAAGUACUUACCACUGCACGAUGAGACGGAGGAAAGAAGAUUAUUGAAAAAGAAACUACGACAAGGGAAAAAUAUUAUUUCGAAGGUAAGUGCUCGUGUGUAUAAAAACUAUUUUUUGAGAUAGGUAUAAAUCCUUUAACCCGAAUCGUCGUACAGUCUUUGAUACCGUUUAUAUUAUCGUUUGUAAAGAGGGGAGUAAAUACGGUCUCUAAAAAGUCAUCCCAGUUGGAUUAUAUUGUGCUCUUUGACAUUUUUGUUUUUUUGUU